Mustela erminea (ermine) is the source of this 469-nucleotide long non-coding RNA. RefSeq lists it as uncharacterized. Lineage: Eukaryota; Metazoa; Chordata; Mammalia; Carnivora; Mustelidae. The transcript has 3 exons. The record is from RefSeq and is a predicted model, not a curated record.
UUACAGCCCCCGGAUUGGAGCGAAAUUGGGCUCUCCCCGAGGCUUGGAAAUCACUGGGGUCGAUUGCUAUGGCUGCUGACUCCCCCCUUGGACCGUUUCUGCUAAUUAUUUAUAUUAAGAAGAAUCAGAAUCUGAGAAAGGACACCCAGGAGAUUCGCUUGGUGGCAGGUUGGUCCCCGUCUCUGUCCACUCUGGAGACUUGGGAGGGGUGCUGUCAUUUACUGAGCCUGCGAGGUGGCAGGCACUGCACUUGCCUCUCCUGACAUCCGCUCAUCGGACCCUCCUUGAGGAAGUGUCAUCAAGGCCCCAGGGGAGCCGUGUGUCCCUGCCGCCUGAUUCAUGGAAUGGUGACCUGCAGCCCCAGGAGUGCCCGGUCCCGGGCCUCCUCCUGCUCCUUGCUCACUCUGGAGGGACCCGGAGGGGACAGACAUGGAAAAGGGGAGUGAGCAAAAGGCAGAGAAGGACCCUU